AGGACUAUACCCUCAGAGAUCUUUCUAUAUUUCACCACCAGAGAAGUUUCUUUGUGCAGAGCCCACGAGACCGUGUGGACCGAGGGGUGGAGUUCUCUCCUACUGUGAAGCUGGCUCUAGAUGCGACUUCCUACAGCUGCCUUUUGCCAUUGGUGAUCCUUCCCUUCAUUUGGGACAGUGGGAGUGAGGGCAGGCAAUCUGAGCGGA
This is a small nucleolar RNA of Acomys russatus (golden spiny mouse), 207 nucleotides long. RefSeq annotates it as small nucleolar RNA U3. NCBI's taxonomy places the organism in Eukaryota, Metazoa, Chordata, Mammalia, Rodentia, Muridae. The transcript has a single exon. The record is from RefSeq and is a predicted model, not a curated record.